This is a non-coding RNA of Delphinapterus leucas (beluga whale), 1159 nucleotides long. Lineage: Eukaryota; Metazoa; Chordata; Mammalia; Artiodactyla; Monodontidae. The record is from the annotation of a RefSeq genome assembly.
CAGGACCUACAGCAUGCUGACCAUCACGGAGAGCGAGUGGCUCAGCCAGAGCGUGUUCACCUGUGAGGUGGAACACAAAGAGGGGAUCUUCCAGAAGAACGUGUCCUCAGUGUGCGGCACCCCCAUGUCCCCCGACAUCAGGAUCUUCACCAUCCCCCCGUCGUUCGCUGGCAUCUUCCUCACCAAGUCAGCCAAGCUUUCCUGCCUGGUCACAGACCUGACCACCUAUGAGAGCCUGAGCAUCUCCUGGACCCGCCAGAAUGGCGAGGCCCUGCAGACCCACACCAACGUCUCCGAGAGCCACGCCAAUGGCACAUUCAGCGCCAUGGGUGAGGCCUCUGUCUGCGUAGAGGAAUGGGAGUCUGGAGAAAGGUUCACGUGCACUGUGACCCACACAGACCUGCCCUCGCCACUGAAGCGCGACAUCUCCAGGCCCACAGAGAUCGCCAAGCACAUGCCGUCCGUGUACGUGCUGCCACCAACGCGGGAACAGCUGAGCCUGCGGGAGUCCGCCUCCGUCACCUGCCUGGUGAAGGGCUUCUCACCCGCGGACGUGUUCGUGCAGUGGCUGCAGAAGGGGCAGCCCAUGUCCUCCGACAAGUACGUGACCAGUGCCCCGGCUCCCGAGCCCCAGGCCCCCGGCCUCUACUUCGUGUACAGCAUCCUGACGGUGAGCGAAGAGGACUGGAACAGCGGGGAGACCUACACCUGCGUCGUGGGCCACGAGGCCCUGCCCCACAUGGUGACCGAGAGGACCGUGGACAAGUCCACCGAGGGCGAAGUGAGCGCCGAGGAAGAAGGCUUCGAGAACCUCAACACCAUGGCCUCCACCUUCAUCGUCCUCUUCCUCCUGGGCCUCUUCUACAGCACCACGGUCACCCUGUUCAAGGUGAAGUGACGGCCAGCCAAGGACAUGGGGGACCAGAGACGGAACGAGAGGGGAGCCGCCUUGGGGCCAGGGGGUCUGCGUGGCUUGUCCACUUGUACUGAAAUCUUCCCCGUGUCCCUCUCCAGCUUCGAGCUCUAAGAAACCAGCUUCUCCCGACGUGGCCAAAUGCCGUGGCCAAGCAUGGAGCCCACAGCCGUGGGCUCUGCCCGGCCCUGCUUUGCAAUGUCUCGCUUGUGGCCUUGAAAUAAAUAUGUACAUUUUAUCUUGUGA